This 4516-nucleotide long non-coding RNA is filed under the name Homo sapiens (human). Its description in RNAcentral is "HSALNT0169733". The record is from RNAcentral. Lineage: Eukaryota; Metazoa; Chordata; Mammalia; Primates; Hominidae.
AGGCGUGUUGGCAACAUGCUUGUAGUCUCAGCUACUCAGGAGGCUGAGGCAUGAGAAUCACUUGAAUCCAGGAGGCAGAGGUUGCAGUGAGCCAAGACUGUGCCACUGCACUUCAGCCUGAGCAACAGAGUGAAACUCUGCCUCAAAAAAGUAAAUAAAUAAAACUAAACUUUGAAAAUUUUCUUUUAUAUAUAUUAGCCAUUUACUUUUUUUAAAAAAUGUGUACAUUUUCUGUUCAAGGUUAUUUGCUCUUUUUUCUCUUUGGGUGGUUUAUUUUCAAUGAUUCUUAUUUUAUACAGCAAGAGUAUAUUAACCUCUCAUCUCUAUGAUUUGCUUUCAAUUUCAGUUUCUGUUGAGCAUUUUUAGAUCUUUAUUUUUUAUACAUUUGUGCAUUUUAGAACUUUAAUUUUACACAUUUGAGUUUAUUCAACUUUUACCCAGGAUUUCUGCUUACUGUGCCAUGCUGGGAAAGUCUUUCUGUAACCUAUCAUAUAAGCCUCUACCUAUAUUUUCUUCUAAUACUUUUACAGUUUCACUUUCUCCAUGUCAAUCUUUAAUCCAUUUGACAUUCAUGCUCGUUGUACAAACCAUUUGCAGAAUCAUCUUUUCCCUUCCAAUUCCACAUGUCAUCUUCAAUACUCAAUUCUUACUAGUCUUAGGCCAGGUUGCAAGUGUUUUCACGAUCUGUCUGGUGUUGUAUCAUUAGCAGAGUUUAAUUAUUUUUAGUUUUAUAGUAUUUUAGUGAAACUGGCAAAAUGUAAAUAAAUGACAGGUGUGAAUGGGUGAGGCCCAACAUGUACGCGAAUGUGUUACCUUAUUAUAAUACAAGCCUUCUUCUGGUGAAAAUUCACGUUUCAGUUCAUCCCCUGCACCACAGUGGGCCUGCGCACAAAUCCGCAUGAGCCUUCCCGUGUUACAUAAUAAAAGGGCGGCAUUGGUGGCAUCCUCAAUUGAUUCAAAGUUGUGAAUUCCCUUUUCAAAACAAGAAAAGCUUUUUUUCCACAACUGUUGCUCGGCAGCAGACACAGAUUUGCUCACUUUACAGAGAAAGAAAGAAAACAACUGUGUAAGCAGACAUCAGUGUAAACCUUAGCACUGUCUCUUGAUGAGAUAAGAGGAGGAUGGCAGUGACAGGAGUGUGGUGGCGAGCCAGUCACCUGCAGUCAACCACGGCUCAUUGCUCUCACCAUGCCUGUUACAUGAAGGUAUGUAUGUAUAGGAAAAAGCACUGAAAAACUCUCCAGUUUCAGGCAUCCACUGGGGAUCUUGGAACGCAUCCUCCAAGGAUAAGUGGGGUCUACUGUACAACACUUAAGUAUAACCCUCUUCACUAUUAACCAAAUGAUAUUAAAAUAAGCAAAGAAAAACAUCUGAGCAAAGUGCCAUUUUGUGAAGAUCCAAAAGCGUGGUCCCCAUGGAGUCUGAAGAGAUUACAACCUGUGUUGUAUCCAAUUUCCCUAGCUUCCUGACUACCACUUUCCAGGCUCCCUCACUGACUGCCCCCUCCAGAUGCACCGUAAAUGCACAGGUUCUCCCACUAGCAAUGAACUCUUUGAGGGCAACAUUUGUAUCCCUAAGUGCCAAGCAUUAUUCACAGAUCAACAGGCACACAGGCUGGGUGCAGUGGCUCAUGCCUGUAAUCCCAGAACUUUGGGAAGCCAAAGCGUGAGGACUGCCUGAGGCCAGGAGUCCGAGACCAGCCUGGGCAACCCAGCAAGACUUCAUCUCUAAAAAAAUUUUUAAAAAUUACUUGGGAGGCCGAGGUGAGAGGAUUGCUUGAGCCCAGGAGUUCGAGGCUGUGGCAAGCUAUGAUUAUGCCACUGCAUUCUAGCCUGCGCGACAGAGUAAAACCCUGUCUCAAAAAAAAAAAAAAAAAGAAACAACCAAAACCAAAACCAAAGGCCCACAGAUGUUCAGCUUACCUGCUCACCUCAGUUCUACCUCAGCCCCUUUCUGUUCUGUCCCUGUGUCCAGGCUUUACAUUCUUAUCUAUUCUCACGGCUUCAACUAUUACCUUUAUGUGAAUGGUUCUCAGUCUGUCUCACUAGCCCUACAGCUCUUAGCACACUUCAAAUUGACUACAAAUUAUACCUUUCACAUACAUGUUCCAUAGUGAACUCAAAUUCAACAUGGGCCCAAAUGGUUUACCAUCUCACAUCUUACUUACACCAUCCCACAUCUUACUACGCCAUCCCACAUCUUACUUACCCACUAUCCCACAUCUUCCUCACACAGGCCUCUUGCUCCCUCUAAACGUACACUUGCACCCUUUGAGAUCCCUGGCUUCUUCCUCACACCGCCUCCUUGGUCUGGAGUGCCCUCCUUUCCUCACAUUUGCCGGCUGAUGCUCUACACAUCCUGCAUCACCCUGCUCAACAACACUUUCCCAAAAGCCUUCUAACUUAUAACCUCCAUAAAUGUCUUAUUUCCCCAGUCUCCCAUUAUACUUCGUCGGUACUCAUCCACAGCAUUUUGAGGCUUUGUGUUCCUAUCUAGCUUCCCAACAUGAAGAGAGAACCAUAUUUUAGCCAGUUACAUAUCCAACAUAGAGCCUGGCACAUGGCUGGAUGUCCCAUUUGCUUCUGAAUUGAUCAGAUGGAGUGAGUACAAAAGUAAGAAUGAAGAACAUUGAAAUAAUUCAUUCCAAGGGAAAAUCAUGUGUUCCUAAUUCUAUUUCUUAAGAAUAAUAAGAGGUUCUCUAAUAGAGCACCUCUUUAUGAUAUAAAAUCAAGUGCCACAGUUCUUUGCUUGACUCAUACAAAAUUAGCAUAAUUUUCUGAGAGAACAAGCAAUAGAGAGGAAUCUAAAGAGAUACUCACCUAGUCUCUCACUCUGUAAUGCAGCAGCCUGAUUCAUGUAAAACACACCAAUUUCAUUUCUAAUGUUACCCAUUCUCUUUAAUACUUGUACAUAGUGUUCUGGAUUUUGGCUUUUCAAGUCACUAAACUGCAAGAUUUCAUUAGCAGCCUCAUAACAUUUACAACUAACAGAGAGUUGACUUUCUAAGUCUGUAGACAAAUCAGUUGCCCAUGCAAAUCCUGAAAAGAAAAAAGGGAUACAUCAAUGCGAAUCAUGUGAUUCCUUCUUCCUCAGUAUCCAAAUGAACCUGAGAUUCUAAAUUCUAAGUAAUAAAAAAUGCAAUAUAGUGUAAGUAUACCAAGAUUCAAUCAAUACAACAAUAUUUAAGUUUCAUAAUAAAGAUCUAUUUAUUUAUAAAAUUAUAUUUCUUGGGAUAUUAAUGUUGGAUAAAAAUAUUUUCCUGCCUAUGAAUAUCAAACAAUUUCUGUGACCCAGGUUUUCCCAGGUACACUUGUUUAUUAGAAUGGACCUAAAGUUGUCCACUAAUACAAAGUAAAGUUGCUAUUUUUAACUAAUGGAAAUAGUUCUUGAAAUAAUGUCCCAAUAUUAACUUUAAGUCACUGAAGAGGCUGCUACAGAAGCCCUCGAAGAUUAAAAAUGCCAUCUAGUGGGGACUAGAGUAAAAAGAAUAUUUAACUGAAAUUGCUAUGAUGGGAGUAGUAAAAAUACACCAAGGACUUUCCUACUACAUUAAAACAUGAUUAUUUGAGAAAGACGGAGAGAGGGGAAGAAAGGGCAAAACUAUUACAAAAUAACACAUUUUUCCCUCUCCCCCAGUAUACUCCUCUAGCUAUGAAUUGUCUAAAACUCUGGGAGGCAAACAUCAAGUAAUAUUCAGUAUAACAAUUUAAGAGCAUAAUAAAACAACCCCAUGAGACAUUACAGAAGCACCUUCAGAAGACUCAUCUUUUACUUCAUUCACUGUGUUAAUGGCAGCGUGGUUACACACUGUGCUGAGGUAAGAGGGAGGGAUAUCGCUGCUGCGGAUCAGAUUAUUCUACUUCCCAGUUUUAAAGCCUGACAAUUCCAAACAGAGUGACAUAUUAAGCAAGACAGGUGGCUAUGAACUAACUUUAAAAACAAUGAUCACUUUAUUUCAGCCCCAAGGAAUCAUUCAGAAGGUUAAUUAACCUCCUUCACCAACUGUUAUACCUUUCAAAAGGAAACCUAUGGCUUUGUUAGCUGACUACAAGUGUUACCUAGAAGAACCUCAUGAAAAGAAGAGUGUAAAAAGCUGACACAAGGCUGGGUGCAGUGGCUCGUGCCUGUAAUCCCAGCACUUUGGGAGGCCAAGGUGGGAGGAUCGCUUGAGUUGAGGAGUUUGAGACCAGUCUGGGGCAACGUGGUGAAACCCUGUCUCUAACAAAAAUACAAAAAUUAGCUAGGUGUGGUGGCGCAUGUACUAGUCCCAGCUACUUGGGAGACUGAGAUGGGAGGAUCACUUGAACCCAGGAGGUGGAGGUUGCAGUGAGCCAAGACUGCCCCACUGCACUCCAGCCUGUGUGGCAGAGCGAGACUGUGUCUCAAAAAAAUAAAUAAAUAAAAUAAAAUAAAAAGUUGACACAACUGUCUUCAUAUCUUACUUUAUAUUUAGUUCUAGUUAUAUAAACAGUAAUUAUAAAAUACUUAAAAACCAUUUUAUACAAAUACACAAGAU